GACGAACGCUGGCGGCAUGCUUAACACAUGCAAGUCGACCGGAAUAUGGGUGUUUAGCUGAGGUUGGGGAGGCGGACGGGGGAGUAACGCGCAUAGGACUUGCCUCACAGCUAGUGACAACAGCUGGAAACGAAUGCUAUUAUCUAAUAUUAGGAUAAUAGCCCAUCGUAUAAUUAUGGAAGCUAUAAGCGCUGUGAGAGAGCUUUGCGUCCCAUUAGCUAGUUGGAGAGGUAAGGGCUCGCCAAGGCGAUGAUGGGUAGCCGGCCUGAGAGGGUGAUCGGCCACCAGGGGCGGGAGAAAGGGCCCUUACUCCUCCGGGCGGAAGCAGUGGGGAUUUUUGGAAAAUGGACCAAGAGUCUGAUACAGAAGCUCUGUGUGGAAGAUGAAGUUUCUCGGAGUGUAAAGUGUUUUGAGUUGGGGAGAAAGAAAUGACGGUACCAACAGAAGAAGCGCCGGCUAACUACGUG
This 467-nucleotide ribosomal RNA is filed under the name uncultured bacterium. RNAcentral describes it as "partial 16S ribosomal RNA". It matches the Rfam family "Bacterial small subunit ribosomal RNA", at positions 28 to 507 of the family's 1533-position model. The record is from RNAcentral.